GUCCGUAAAGGUGGAUGAGUGGUGUUUGGUUUGUCACGUGUGGUUGGCUGCGGCGUUUGCAACAACUUCCAUGCUUUCAGACCUCUUCAGUUGUGCGGCAAGGCUUGUAUCGCCUUGCUGUAUUGUGGGUUUUCUGUGUURAAUACCUAAUCAAUGGUAUCGGUUGGAUUGAUCAAUGUUUCAUUUCGUCUGUCGUCGCAUUCGCGGCGUGAGACGAACCUCGAUGCGGUCUCUUUGGUCCACCUUGUCGAAGCACAUGCUUUGACGUUGUGGCACAUUGAGCAUUGCUUGGUCUCUUGUAUACGGAACAUAUAGUGGGCAUGGAUCUAACGAUUCUUCUUUGCCCUCAUGUUAGCGUAACGCUUCUCUUACACGACUUGCUCCAUGUUUUAGCUCGUACGGACGUGGU
This 409-nucleotide unclassified non-coding RNA is filed under the name Artemisia roxburghiana. RNAcentral's name for it is "partial external transcribed spacer". Lineage: Eukaryota; Viridiplantae; Streptophyta; Magnoliopsida; Asterales; Asteraceae. The record is from RNAcentral.